Long non-coding RNA from Syzygium oleosum, 1331 nucleotides. RefSeq lists it as uncharacterized. Lineage: Eukaryota; Viridiplantae; Streptophyta; Magnoliopsida; Myrtales; Myrtaceae. The record is from RefSeq and is a predicted model, not a curated record. The transcript is spliced from 2 exons.
UUGCUUACUUGUUAAAUACUCUUUCUAGUUUCAUCUGGGCAAUAGAUAUCUCCUAGUUGUAGUAAAGGUUGUUAAGGUUCGUUUGCACAUGCUACUUUGUCGUUCACGUAUCUACCAUCCGUGGGUCAAAGCUUCCUCUUCACUUGCCAUGUGAAUGGAGUCGGACAUUUUUACAGACUACUUGCCUUUGGCUCCUUAGCAUAUCUCUCUCUCUCUCUAUAAAAUCAGGCAGGCCCUUCAAAUCAAGAACCCACUUCAUCAACUGAGUACCCACUUCCACCAAGGAGAGACCCGGAUUUCCAAGGUGGAAGAGGAGGUGAUUUCAUGGACAUGCACACACGGGUGAGUGUAUUUCCAUGCUAUUCAUGCCAAGUGAGCAGUCUUUUGUUUUUUAACCUUUGCUUCGUUGUCUGUUCGACCUUGAAACUGUUGUUAGGGCUUCGUGAACCCUAGGUAGUUGAGUCUCUGUCUCUCUCUCCGUCUCUAGGAGAGUAGAGAGAUCGUGAAAGCAUAACGAUAACAAACGUCUGUUGGAGCAAGUGUGAGCUCUACAAGCAAAAUCACCAGCUGGGUCAUUUUGGUUUGUCUUGAAAGUGUCAUACAAUGGUGCAACCAGAAGUUAUUGCGCUACCAAAUUAGAGUUACACCUAACACACAAAUAGAAAGUAUAUAUGUUAUCUUCAUAGCGUAAACCAGCCUAACACUUCCUAUAUUUAACAUAUGGAACACAGCUGACUUGCGGAUGUGUUAAGGUCGACCUAGAAAAGAAAGCGAAUUGAGGAAACUUUUAAAUCCUAGAGAUAAAGAACAAGUAUAUACAAGUCUCAAGAGUCCUUCUACUUUGUUUGCUUCUCUGCUGGGGAAAAAUUCCAGGGGGUGAUUUUUGUGAACAAGUACAUAGGUAUACCAUUAUCUCAAUGCAAUUAAGCCUUGAUUUUUGUACAUACCCCGACCUUCACGUAACAAAGCACAAAUUGCUUUUGGGUUCUGUUGAAUCUGUUCGUUUGAUAGAAAAUUAGAAAGUUGGUUGGUGAUGAUUUUCUCACUGGUUUGCAUGUGAAUAGGUGAUACAUCAGUAGGAUGAUCUCUAUAUAAUAGUAGCAGCCACGACAAUUUCUAGGAACUCCUACUUGAUCAUUAUGUCAUGAUUUACUAAAUGAGAUUGUUCAACUUAUUUAGCAUAUUUAGAGAUCCUUUUGGCUGGAGACUAAAAUUAUGUCUACUUGAGCUUGAGGGCGUGUUAACUAGUUGAGGCGAGUAUUAACAUUUGUAGGUUAAGAAGAUCUCAUCAAAGUGUCCCCGAUAUAUAUCAUGCAAAACGAUAGUUCAUA